UAGUAUUACAGCUCUUUUAGGAUUUGCCUAGCAGGCUUUCAAGUUUUUACCAGAAAACCCCC
This is a small nuclear RNA of Callithrix jacchus (white-tufted-ear marmoset), 62 nucleotides long. Its record names the gene U7. It matches the Rfam family "U7 small nuclear RNA". From Rfam's summary of the family: Animal histone pre-mRNAs are spliced by a different mechanism than nuclear pre-mRNAs and self-splicing introns. This processing involves the U7 snRNP, which contains only one RNA species: U7. The 5' end of U7 RNA is thought to base-pair to a conserved spacer element downstream of the cleavage site in histone pre-mRNA. Lineage: Eukaryota; Metazoa; Chordata; Mammalia; Primates; Cebidae. The record is from Ensembl.